Long non-coding RNA from Saccostrea cuccullata (small rock oyster), 1827 nucleotides. RefSeq lists it as uncharacterized. The record is from RefSeq and is a predicted model, not a curated record. The transcript is spliced from 5 exons. NCBI's taxonomy places the organism in Eukaryota, Metazoa, Mollusca, Bivalvia, Ostreida, Ostreidae.
AAUCUUUUAAUUAAGAAAAAAAGUGGUAAUUAUUUAUAAGUUAUUAGUCUUUAAUUUAAAUACGAUCCUUUUUACCACUUUUGCGUAGUAAUCUAAACAUGAUAAGAUUGCAUCCAUUAAUGAAAACAGCCUUUGAAAACCGAAGCGUGAAAAUUUGUCAACAAACCCACGUGGAAUGAAACAAAAGAGCUAAUUGGAAGUGAUAAGCCUUUUCUUCGACAUAUACAAGUAUUUGUUCAACGGAAUCGUGAAAAUCUGUCAACAAACCCACGUGAAGUACAACAAAGAGCUAUUCCUUUCCUUCGACAUUUACAAGAUGACUGCAAAGAAACUAGAUGACUUUAUCCUACAAGAGGGAUCAACAACAGCCUUACCUUUAUCCCCAAGGAGGAAAAGGGAGGCCAUUAAGAUUGGUGAAUAUGUGGAAACUUCACCUUCUGCCGCUUCUGAAUGACAGAAGGAAACAAAACCCACCACAACAUAUGAAGGUAUGACACAGUCAUAACUGUUAAAGUUGGACUGACAGAUGUGCAAGAAAUCUUAUUCUGCAAGAUGAUGGUCAUGGUAUGAUUGUGCCCCAAUGGACGGAAAGGGAAAGAAGGAUCAUUAAGAUUGGUGAAUUUGUGAAAAUAACACACCUUGUCCCUUCUUAUCAGAAUGGCAGAAGAAGAUAUACCUAGAAACAUUAUUCUGAAGGAAAAAUUACUGGAAGAGGCAGUAGUCUGGGCAUGAUGGACUUUUGUAGUACCUUUGGAGCCAUCUUGAAAUGCUUAAUAAACUUUGAAUUAAUUCUUGUUUUAAUUGCUACUAAUAAUGCAAAAAAAUUGUACAAAUCAGUGAAAUAGUCAACAAACAUAUAUUGUUAAUGCAUUUAUAAUUGCAUAAGUACAAAAAUGUGCAUGUUAAUAUUUUCAUAAAUAUGUCUUCCUUUGACAUCAACUUGCAAUUUUUUUUCAUAUUCUGUUCUCUCCUCAGUUAAAUUUAAAGAAAGAUGUUCUGCAAUAUGUUCAUGCAAAUCAUAUUUUUGCUGUCUUAGUACAAUUGUGAAAUCUACAUAUUUUAUAAUUUGAAAUCUUGUCUUUUACAAUGAGAUGGAAGAUUUCAGUUUCAACAUUCAGUUUUUGAAAUUUUUGUUUAUCAUAUUUGUCCAAGUUGGACAUAAUUUACUGUUUAUUGAUUUCUACUACAGCACACAUUUGAACGUAGUUUCCUUUACUUCGAUUUUAGAAACAUAGUGAAAUUUUUCUGUUGGUUUGCUGUUAUGUUUCCACAUUUUUUUCAUUUACUUCAUGUAUAAUUAGAAACUUGUUAUCACUCAUAAGCAUUCUGUACAUAUGUUAAACAAGUUGUGCAACAUGUUGUUAAUUGUAAUAUACAAAACCAACACAAUAAUACAUGUAAUAAAUACAUUAUACCACAAGCUCUGCUUAACAUUGUGCAGCUUUAUCAGUUACAGUUAUGAUUUGUUACACCAGAUUGUGUUUUGUAUUUUCUGAAUUAUUAAGGACCUAUACAAUUUACCUUACCAACUGAUAAUUUUUCUUAAUUAAGAUUACAGUGUCAUCAGAAAUUCAAAAUAUUAGUAACUCAUUGCAAGAGAGUUUGAAAAACAUGUCCAUUUACUUAAAAGAAAAUAUACAAAUAUUACCGAACAAAGUUGAUUUCAUUAUUACUGUUUACUUGUUUCAAAACAUGUACAAAAGUAUUCAUAGACAAUAAAAUUUAGCACACGUUCCUUCUUGUAUUGGACCUCUCUAUCCCACGGGAAAAUGCAAUUAAGUUCAAACUAUGUUGCAUAUGUCUAUAAAUAAAAGAUAGUCCCUUUUU